CGAACGGGUGAGUAACACGUGGGCAACCUGCCCAAAAGAGGGGGAUAACACUUGGAAACAGGUGCUAAUACCGCAUAACCAUAGUUACCGCAUGGUAACUAUGUAAAAGGUGGCUAUGCUACCGCUUUUGGAUGGGCCCGCGCGCAUUAGCUAGUUGGUGGGGUAAAGGCUUACCAAGGCAAUGAUGCGUAGCCGAACUGAGAGGUUGAUCGGCCACAUUGGGACUGAGACACGGCCCAAACUCCUACGGAAGGCAGCAG
Molecule: ribosomal RNA, 260 nt
Filed under: uncultured bacterium
Lineage: Bacteria
Description: partial 16S ribosomal RNA
Rfam family: Bacterial small subunit ribosomal RNA
Source: RNAcentral